This 334-nucleotide long non-coding RNA is filed under the name Mytilus galloprovincialis (Mediterranean mussel). The record is from RNAcentral. Lineage: Eukaryota; Metazoa; Mollusca; Bivalvia; Mytilida; Mytilidae.
GGGGGACGAGCGAUUGGAAUUGGCUGUUAUGCUACCCAGUCCAAGCGCUAAUGGAUGACGAAUGACAAAGAGGAUUUCUGUUUUUGGGCCUCAUCAUUUUUUCAGAAGCUUGUACAUGUGAAAAUGUCGUGUCUUCUGUAGACUGCCUUGUGUGCAUGAGGUGGUUAUCUUUAUAGCAGAAUCUAGGAAUUUGUUUUGAGUUAAUGACUACAAAACUGAUUUCAAAACUCAAAUGGAACAAAUAAGUCAAUGCCGUCAAGCUAUUGUGACACAUUAAUUUCUACUAGCUUUAUGGCAAAUAAACAGUUUUAAAUUUUACACAAUAACAUCAUCA